UACGUAGGGGGCUAGCGUUGUCCGGAAUCAUUGGGCGUAAAGCGCGUGUAGGCGGUCCGGUAAGUCCGCUGUGAAAGUCGGGGGCUCAACCCUCGAAUGCCGGUGGAUACUGUCGGGCUAGAGUGCGGAAGAGGCGAGUGGAAUUCCUGGUGUAGCGGUGAAAUGCGUAGAGAUCGGGAGGAACACCAGUGGCGAAGGCGGCUACCUGGACCAGCACUGACACUGAGGCACGAAAGCGUGGGGAGCAAACAGG
RNAcentral lists this ribosomal RNA (253 nucleotides) under uncultured bacterium. RNAcentral describes it as "partial 16S ribosomal RNA". It matches the Rfam family "Bacterial small subunit ribosomal RNA", at positions 524 to 776 of the family's 1533-position model. The record is from RNAcentral.